AUUGAACGCUGGCGGCAUGCCUUACACAUGCAAGUCGAACGGCAGCACGGGAGCAAUCCUGGUGGCGAGUGGCGAACGGGUGAGUAAAGUAUCGGAACGUGCCCAGUCGUGGGGGAUAACGUAGCGAAAGUUACGCUAAUACCGCAUACGAUCUAUGGAUGAAAGCAGGGGAUCACUUGUGACCUUGCGCAAAUAGAUGAGCCUAAGUCGGAUUAGCUAGUUGGUGGGGUAAAGGCCUACCAAGGCGACGAUCUGUAGCGGGUCCGAGAGGAUGACAAGCCAAACGGGAACUGAGACACGGUCCAGACUCCUACGGGAGGCAGCAGUGGGGAAUAUUGCACAAUGGGCGCAAGCCUGAUGCAGCCAUGCCGCGUGUAUGAAGAAGGCCUUCGGGUUGUAAAGUACUUUCAGCGGGGAGGAAGGCGGUGAAGUUAAUAACUUCACCGAUUGACGUUACCCGCAGAAGAAGCACCGGCUAACUCCGUGCCAGCAGCCGCCGUAA
Molecule: ribosomal RNA, 502 nt
Filed under: uncultured bacterium
Lineage: Bacteria
Description: partial 16S ribosomal RNA
Rfam family: Bacterial small subunit ribosomal RNA
Source: RNAcentral